This 299-nucleotide ribosomal RNA is filed under the name uncultured Veillonellaceae bacterium. RNAcentral describes it as "partial 16S ribosomal RNA". Lineage: Bacteria; Bacillati; Bacillota; Negativicutes; Veillonellales; Veillonellaceae. The record is from RNAcentral.
GGAGUCUGGACCGUAUCUCAGUUCCAAUGUGACCGUUCAUCCUCUCAGACCGGUUACCGAUCGUCGACUUGGUAGGCCCUUACCCCACCAACUUCUAAUCGGACGCAAACCCCUCUUUAAGCGAUAAAUCUUUAGCGUUAUCAUCAUGCGACAACACCGCAACAUUCGGUAUUAGCAACCCUUUCGAGUUGUUGUCCCCAUCUUAAAGGCAGGUUAUUUGCGCUUUACUCACCCGUUCGCCACUAGGACCGAAGUCCCCGUUCGACUUGCAUGUGUUAAGCACGCCGCCAGCGUUCGUC